CCCAACCCCCAGCCAGGGCUGCGGCGGCGCCGGGGAAGAGGGAGGAGGCUGCGCUCGGCGGCUGUUUUCCACUUCACUUUUGCAGACCCGGGUGGGGACGGAGAGCGCCCGCUCCGCUGCCCCGGGUGGCUGCAGCGCACGCGGCUCCGAGCUCAAUGUCCGCUCUGUCCCGGCGGCUGGGCUGGGGGCCGAGCCAGCCAAAGUGUCCGAAAGCAAGCAGAGCGCUCGGAACCUACCCCGCAACUGGGCGUCGGGCGUUCCAAGCGGGCCGUGGCAGCCCCGCCCUUGCGCUCCCUCAUCCCUGCGCGGAGCUGGGGAACUUGAACUGGCUCUCGUCACCCCCGCGGCCUCGCCGAUAGGACACCGCUUCGGUCCCGGGUGCGAGAUGGAAGGUACACCCGAGCAGUGGAUUUAGCAAACACACCUUUGUGAGUACGCACCCCACGGGAGCGCGCACACACGCCCCUCGAGCGCGCACGCACCACCCAGCCGGCUGCAGACCCUAAUCCUGGGACGCUUGGCGGCGGAGGGAAGCUGCGAGCGCGCUCAGUGCGCACUUAGACCUGCGCCCCGGCCCGGCACCGGGCUGCGGCGAGCCCAGGCGCUCCGGACGCACGCCGCGCUCUCAGCAGUCCUGGCGGCGCCGGAACGCCCCAUCCCCCCGGGAAUAGGCACUUUGGGGAGCAGGCAAUCGAGAGCGAGUGGAGAUUGCAGCUUGCUGCCGCGAGGGCGCCGGGGAAGGAGAAGAAGCGAGUCCCGGGCUGAACCAGGAACCCUGCGGACAUUGUUCUUCGCACUCCACAGAGCUCGGUCAAAUCUGGGUCCAAGCCACGGACUUUACUUAGCACGUUAGAGACAUCUUUACUCUUUGCCCCACCAUCCGUUUUUACUGUAAACCGUAUUACUGGUACUAUCGCUAUUGUAGAAGAAAGUUUCCAAGUUCCCUGAAGGACAGAUAUGGAAGAUUCUAACACCAGCUGCUAGUUCGCUUCUGCAUGGAAGUCCAGCCUGCUGCCGCUCCCUCUCCAUGUGAGGCAUCGGAGAUACUGAUGGACUGCUCCCCACUGCACUUCCCCACCCCACCUUGACUACUUCUUGCCUGUAAUCUGGCUUUAGGAAUAUUCAGAGGAGGCUUCUACAUUAAAAGUGUGUUUGAGCCCUA
This is a long non-coding RNA of Eptesicus fuscus (big brown bat), 1162 nucleotides long. RefSeq lists it as uncharacterized. The record is from RefSeq and is a predicted model, not a curated record. The transcript is spliced from 2 exons. NCBI's taxonomy places the organism in Eukaryota, Metazoa, Chordata, Mammalia, Chiroptera, Vespertilionidae.